RNAcentral lists this ribosomal RNA (228 nucleotides) under uncultured bacterium. Its description in RNAcentral is "partial 16S ribosomal RNA". It matches the Rfam family "Bacterial small subunit ribosomal RNA", at positions 568 to 795 of the family's 1533-position model. The record is from RNAcentral.
UGCGUAGGCGGGGCAAUUAGUCAGUGGUGAAAUCCUGCGGCUUAACCGUAGAAUUGCCAUUGAUACUGUUGCCCUUGAGUAUAGUUGAAGUGGGCGGAAUAUGUAAUGUAGCGGUGAAAUGCAUAGAGAUUACAUAGAACACCAAUUGCGAAGGCAGCUCACUAAGCUAUUACUGACGCUGAGGCACGAAAGCGUGGGGAGCGAACAGGAUUAGAUACCCUGGUAGUC